CGGAAUCUGCCUAUUUGUGGGGGAUAACGUAGGGAAACUUACGCUAAUACCGCAUACGACCUACGGGUGAAAGCGGAGGACCUUCGGGCUUCGCGCGGAUAGAUGAGCCGAUGUCGGAUUAGCUAGUUGGCGGGGUAAAGGCCCACCAAGGCGACGAUCCGUAGCUGGUCUGAGAGGAUGAUCAGCCACACUGGAACUGAGACACGGUCCAGACUCCUACGGGAGGCAGCAGUGGGGAAUAUUGGACAAUGGGCGCAAGCCUGAUCCAGCCAUGCCGCGUGGGUGAAGAAGGCCUUCGGGUUGUAAAGCCCUUUUGUUGGGAAAGAAAAGCAGUCGGUUAAUACCCGAUUGUUCUGACGGUACCCAAAGAAUAAGCACCGGCUAACUUCGUGCCAGCAGCCGCGGUAAUACGAAGGGUGCAAGCGUUACUCGGAAUUACUGGGCGUAAAGCGUGCGUAGGUGGUUUGUUAAGUCUGAUGUGAAAGCCCUGGGCUCAACCUGGGAAUUGCAUUGGAUACUGGCAGGCUAGAGUGCGGUAGAGGGUAGUGGAAUUCCCGGU
Molecule: ribosomal RNA, 559 nt
Filed under: uncultured bacterium
Lineage: Bacteria
Description: bacterial SSU rRNA
Rfam family: Bacterial small subunit ribosomal RNA
Source: RNAcentral